This 404-nucleotide ribosomal RNA is filed under the name uncultured Alphaproteobacteria bacterium. Its description in RNAcentral is "bacterial SSU rRNA". It matches the Rfam family "Bacterial small subunit ribosomal RNA", at positions 355 to 776 of the family's 1533-position model. RNAcentral also lists the same sequence under 1 other name. The record is from RNAcentral. Lineage: Bacteria; Pseudomonadati; Pseudomonadota; Alphaproteobacteria.
UGGGGAAUCUUGGACAAUGGGGGAAACCCUGAUCCAGCGACGCCGCGUGAUCGAUGAAGGCCUUCGGGUCGUAAAGAUCUUUCAGCGGGGACUAUGAUGAAGGUACCCGCAGAAGCAGGAGCGGCUAACUACGUGCCAGCAGCCGCGGUAAUACGUAGGCUCCAAGCGUUGUUCGGAAUUACUGGGCGUAAAGCGAGUGUAGGCGGUUCGCCAAGUCGAUUGUGAAAUCUCCCGGCUCAACUGGGAGGGUGCGGUCGAUACUGGCGAGCUAGAGUGCGGAAGAGGAAGGUAGAAUUCCUGGUGUAGCGGUGGAAUGCGUAGAUAUCAGGAGGAAUACCGGUGGUGAAGACGGCCUUCUGGGCCGCAACUGACGCUGAGACUCGAAAGCGUGGGGAGCAAACAGG